UUGGCAUCAUGGCAGUGUCUGGGCAGCAGGAGAGAGCCCUGGCUCACCUUUGUGUGACUCUUGACAUCAGGAGGAGCUCCCUAGACAGAUUACAUUCACUGUGAUUCAUGCUGCUAUUCUUCAUUUUCUUGUCCUGCACCCUUGGGACUGAUAGAAGAUUGCAAAGGGAUGAAUGAACAUUGCUUGGACAAAAAGAAGUAAAUGAGGAGCUGGAACCACAGCCCCUGUCCUUAGGAAUUCACAGUCUGGUAAGAGUGAUUUGGAAAAAAACUGAUUCAAGUGAAUAAAUGAUGCUCAUACAUUCUGGUUAUCAACAUGCUGCGAUCCAGUUUUGCCAAGACUACGUAAAUAUUAACCACUUUUUAAAUGUCAUGCAUGCCAUUUUGAAAUAAGGUAAAAGGGGAAGGGAUAUGAAACUUGACAGUGUAUUUUAAAAUUUUAAUAAUUAUUUUUCUUAUUGAAAUAUUGCUAUCUUCAGCUCCACUAUUGCUUACAAUUUGUAAGUUUCCUUCUCCAAAAUUAACAUGAAAAGAUAACCUUUUAUAAAGGUUAUGUUUUAUAUCCAUUC
Molecule: long non-coding RNA, 568 nt
Organism: Neopelma chrysocephalum (saffron-crested tyrant-manakin)
Lineage: Eukaryota; Metazoa; Chordata; Aves; Passeriformes; Pipridae
Exons: 3
Source: RefSeq, a predicted model, not a curated record